This 623-nucleotide long non-coding RNA is filed under the name Anas platyrhynchos platyrhynchos (common mallard). RNAcentral describes it as "lncRNA (ENSAPLG00000023596.1)". The record is from RNAcentral. Lineage: Eukaryota; Metazoa; Chordata; Aves; Anseriformes; Anatidae.
AUGACUUCUUGACAAACACCAUCAUGCUGAACACCCCCCACCCUUCCUCCUUCUUUAUCCCAGCUUUUAUUUCUGAACAUGAUGUCAUAUGGUAUGGAAUAUCUCUCUGGUCAGCCUGGGUAAGCUGUCCUGGCUGUGUUCCCGCCUAGCUUUUUGUGCAACCCCACUGGCCGGGCAGCACAAGAAACAUAAAAGUCCUUGACUCUGUGUAAGCACUGCCCAGCUGCAACUAAAACUUUGUGUGUUAACACUAUUUUCAUCCUAAAUCCAACAAAGAGCAUCAUAUAAAUCAAAGAAGCUUAUAUGAAGAAAAUUAGCACUACCUCAUCCGAGACCAUGACAACCAGUUUUUAUACAAAGCUUCAGAAAGUAAAGUUCCAUACAAGUGAAAGGAUGGCACAAGACAUGGAUGACACAGUCUAUGCUCUUCAUGACUGACACACAUAGUGGUCAGGACAAAACAGUAAGUCAUCUUACACUCACAGUCUAAUAUAUAAUUCCAUGGAGUUAAACUGAGCUUGCAGAAUUUCAUACAAGUCAAAUACCUACUGUUUGCUAUUCUUAUUCAACAUCAUAUGCAAGAGGCUACUAAAAGUUUCUUAUACUUAUUUGAGAUAUAUCCC